CGGCGGACGGGUGAGUAACACGUGGAUAACCUACCUAUAAGACUGGGAUAACUUCGGGAAACCGGAGCUAAUACCGGAUAAUAUAUUGAACCGCAUGGUUCAAUAGUGAAAGACGGUUUUGCUGUCACUUAUAGAUGGAUCCGCGCCGCAUUAGCUAGUUGGUAAGGUAACGGCUUACCAAGGCAACGAUGCGUAGCCGACCUGAGAGGGUGAUCGGCCACACUGGAACUGAGACACGGGUCCAGACUCCUACGGGAGGCAGCAGUC
This 267-nucleotide ribosomal RNA is filed under the name uncultured Staphylococcus sp. RNAcentral's name for it is "partial 16S ribosomal RNA". It matches the Rfam family "Bacterial small subunit ribosomal RNA", at positions 96 to 355 of the family's 1533-position model. Lineage: Bacteria; Bacillati; Bacillota; Bacilli; Caryophanales; Staphylococcaceae. The record is from RNAcentral.